This 304-nucleotide long non-coding RNA is filed under the name Cyanistes caeruleus (blue tit). RNAcentral's name for it is "lncRNA (ENSCCEG00000018134.1)". The record is from RNAcentral. Lineage: Eukaryota; Metazoa; Chordata; Aves; Passeriformes; Paridae.
GUUUACUGAGACACAAGGAAAUAGCUCCAAGGGUGACAUCCAUCACAUUCACGCAGCGACUUGCAACAGUUUGCUCUAAACCACACUCUGUGAGUAAGCGCUGCAGGUGGAGAUCAAAGCACACCUCAGUGGGUUCUGGGUCAUGCACAGCCACAAAUCUGAGAGGGGAAGAGGUCUUCCCAACAUUUACAGGUAAGAGUUUCUUAUGUACUUUUCACAGACUUCCUCUAAACCCUGCCAAACUCUGCCAACACAUGCUUUAGGUAUGAAUAAAAGCCUCAGCCAAGAGUGUUUCUAUCUCUAG